UGUCCUCCAUAGGAGGUCUAUAUUGAGCAGAUUCUUUUCGGUAUUGGGUGGUGGAACCGGAGCGUGCUCCAUCCACUCCAUGCAUUGACCUGGUAUUGCAGUGCUUCCAGGACCGGUGC
RNAcentral lists this small nuclear RNA (119 nucleotides) under Crocodylus porosus (Australian saltwater crocodile). Its description in RNAcentral is "U2 spliceosomal RNA (ENSCPRG00005004267.1)". It matches the Rfam family "U2 spliceosomal RNA", at positions 67 to 185 of the family's 192-position model. From Rfam's summary of the family: U2 is a small nuclear RNA (snRNA) component of the spliceosome (involved in pre-mRNA splicing). The record is from RNAcentral. Lineage: Eukaryota; Metazoa; Chordata; Crocodylia; Crocodylidae.